Molecule: ribosomal RNA, 460 nt
Filed under: uncultured bacterium
Lineage: Bacteria
Description: partial 16S ribosomal RNA
Rfam family: Bacterial small subunit ribosomal RNA
Source: RNAcentral
CCUACGGGUGGCAGCAGUGAGGAAUAUUGGUCAAUGGGCGGAAGCCUGAACCAGCCAAGUAGCGUGCAGGAUGACGGCCCUACGGGUUGUAAACUGCUUUUAUACGGGAAUAACGCGCCUUACGUGUAGGGCUUUGCAUGUACCGUAUGACUAAUGACCGGCUAAUUCCGUGCCAGCAGCCGCGGUAAUCCGGAAGGUCCGGGCGUUAUCCGGAUUUAUGGGGUUUAACGUGGGCGUAGGCCGCAUGUCAAGCGUGCUGUGACAUGUCCGGGCUCAACCCGGGCCUUGCAGCGCGAACUGGCGUGCUUGAGUCCGCGGAAAGCAGGCGGAAUUCGUCGUGUAGCGGUGAAAUGCUUAGAUAUGACGAAGAACCCCGAUUGCGAAGGCAGCUUGCUGCAGCGGAACUGACGCUGAUGCUCGAAAGCGCGGGUAUCGAACAGGAUUAGAUACCCUUGUAGUC